Molecule: ribosomal RNA, 207 nt
Filed under: uncultured bacterium
Lineage: Bacteria
Description: partial 16S ribosomal RNA
Rfam family: Bacterial small subunit ribosomal RNA
Source: RNAcentral
UCUGUAGGUGGUUUAAUAAGUCUACUGUUAAAUCUUGAGGCUCAACCUCAAAAUCGCAGUCGAAACUAUUAGACUAGAGUAUAGUAGGGGUAAAGGGGAUUUCCAGUGGAGCGGUGAAAUGCGUAGAUAUUGGAAGGAACACCGAUGGCGAAGGCACUUUACUGGGCUAUUACUAACACUCAGAGACGAAAGCUAGGGUAGCAAAUG